This 658-nucleotide ribosomal RNA is filed under the name uncultured bacterium. RNAcentral's name for it is "bacterial SSU rRNA". It matches the Rfam family "Bacterial small subunit ribosomal RNA", at positions 62 to 688 of the family's 1533-position model. The record is from RNAcentral.
UCGAGCGAGCGGAACUACAGAUUUACUUCGGUAAUGACGUUAGGAAAGCGAGCGGCGGAUGGGUGAGUAACACGUGGGGAACCUGCCCCAUAGUCUGGGAUACCACUUGGAAACAGGUGCUAAUACCGGAUAAGAAAGCAGAUCGCAUGAUCAGCUUUUAAAAGGCGGCGUAAGCUGUCGCUAUGGGAUGGCCCCGCGGUGCAUUAGCUAGUUGGUAAGGUAAAGGCUUACCAAGGCGAUGAUGCAUAGCCGAGUUGAGAGACUGAUCGGCCACAUUGGGACUGAGACACGGCCCAAACUCCUACGGGAGGCAGCAGUAGGGAAUCUUCCACAAUGGACGCAAGUCUGAUGGAGCAACGCCGCGUGAGUGAAGAAGGUUUUCGGAUCGUAAAGCUCUGUUGUUGGUGAAGAAGGAUAGAGGUAGUAACUGGCCUUUAUUUGACGGUAAUCAACCAGAAAGUCACGGCUAACUACGUGCCAGCAGCCGCGGUAAUACGUAGGUGGCAAGCGUUGUCCGAGUUUAUUGGGCGUAAAGCGAGCGCAGGCGGAAGAAUAAGUCUGAUGUGAAAGCCCUCGGCUUAACCGAGGAACUGCAUCGGAAACUGUUUUUCUUGAGUGCAGAAGAGGAGAGUGGAACUCCAUGUGUAGCGGUGGAAUG